UUCCUGAAGAACUAGUGGUUAGGCCUCGGCGCUCUCACCACCACGGCCCGGGUUCAAUUCCCGGCGAGGGAA
RNAcentral lists this transfer RNA (72 nucleotides) under Pangasius djambal. Its description in RNAcentral is "tRNA-Glu". Lineage: Eukaryota; Metazoa; Chordata; Actinopteri; Siluriformes; Pangasiidae. The record is from RNAcentral.